Ahaetulla prasina is the source of this 1888-nucleotide long non-coding RNA. RefSeq lists it as uncharacterized. The transcript has 3 exons. The record is from RefSeq and is a predicted model, not a curated record. NCBI's taxonomy places the organism in Eukaryota, Metazoa, Chordata, Lepidosauria, Squamata, Colubridae.
UCUAAUAAGACCAACAAUAUACCAUGCCGUCAUUUUUCCAGUCAUGAGGUAGGUACAUUUUAUGUUUAGAAAGGCCAACAUAUAGGAACAUAUCAGCUGUAUAGGACAGACCAAAUCAGAAACCAGGGCUAACUUUAUUGUAACAGUUAUAGGAAAAGAAUCUUGCAAGUCAGAAUGUGCUUCUCCCCCUCCCUACUUUAUUUUUGUGUGAAGUAGGGAGGGGCCUGAGAUGUUUACUCAAAUUAGUUUCUUGGAACUGGCCCUGUAUAUCAGACUGUUACCUUAAUAGCAGUUGUUCCACCUGUGCUUCAAGGGCAUUCCCCAUGUCUUCCACAGAAAAAAGUGAUAGGCUACUAUUUUCCUAGAACAUCAAAAUAUUUUAAUUUCCCACUCCAAAAAAAGCAUUAAGUAGUACAGCAUCAGUAUUAUUGUCCAAUUAAAUAGUAGCCUACUAGCUAAUUAAAUAACUUACAGUGCAGUGGUGAAGUGCACUUACCUUUACUACCAGUUUGGAAAUGUGAACGUGCACGCGCUCUCGCUACACUUGCGCAUGCCUCUUCACCACAUGUGCAGAGCCUACUGUGCAUGCACAGAGGGUCAAAAACGAGACAUAAUAACAUCCAGCGGGUGGACGGAGCCUCCUGCCACCGGCCCUAUUGGUUCGCGUGAGCCAGAUAGAUCCAGCUGGAUUUCACCGCUGAUACAGUGUCUAAGUCUCUACAGGAUUUCCACAAGCCAUUUUAGAGAAGGAAACAUGAUUAUAAAAGCAGCUUAAGACUAUAAUGAAAAUGUUCCCUUAAUAUUGAUGGCUAUUUCUAGAUUAUUGUAAUUGAAGAUAACAUUGUUUAAUUUGAAAAGGCAAUUAUCCAAUCACUCCUUAAAUAACUCAAAAUUUAUUAGUCCUGAAAAGUAACCAUCAUCUUCAGCCUAAUUACCAUAAAUGCUUGUCAUUGGGUUCUUAUUUGCCAAUUGGUAAUGUCACAACUGCCUUUAGUAAUGCAAACCGUUAAGUCACAAUACACCCACAACCAACCUGUGGACUAAUCCCUUUUGCCUUUAGUAUGGUAAGUCUAGGAUAGCAUAUCAGCUAAAUUCUGCACGAGAACAAUUUCAUUCCUCUUCAAUUAAAGUUCCUUAAAUUUGUAAGAACUUCAAUUUCUCAAAAUCUGCUGACACUUGGGAAGAAAAGAUAGAAAAGAAUCUAAACCUAUAUGGGCUUCUAGAGGCAGAAUAACUUGAUAGAGUGGUGUUGGCAUUUAGUUUUAUUUGAUACAUGCUUAAGCCUUGCUUGAAUUUCUUCAAGAGAGAUUUUCUGAUCACCAUAUAAGAUCCAUUGUUUCCCUAUUUUUUAAGCCUAACACAUAUCCUUGUUUUUCCUUGAAAAUCUGAGUUCUUAUUCACUCUAUAAACUAAUUUAAUAUUUUGGUGCCAUUUUGUGUCUUAGGGACUUGUGAUCUGGUAGCUUGUUUUGGUUGAGAAAAGGUAAAGAAAGGGAUAGCAGAUAAUGCCAGUGAAAGCAAUAGUUGCUACAUCAUCCCAAGGCUAUACUGGCUGAGUAGACCAGAUCAGAUGGCACAGAGAAAGAUCUUUUACAGAGAACAACAACCUUGCAAGGCGAAUUGGCUGAGAGAGUGUGACUAGUGCUAGAUCAUUCAGCUGAUUUCCUGGCUAAGGCAGGAUUUGAACUCGUGGUUUCCCAGUUUCUAGCCUGAUGCUUUAACCACUACCCAAACUCGCUCACAUAUAUACGAACUGUUUAGACAGAUUUCCAGAAAAAACAUAGCCCAGAGGAGCCAGGAAAUAAUACCUGUAUUUUCCAUUUGACCCAGAGUGUGAAGCAAUCAUUUUUUAUAAGCACAAUAUGGGUUUCCUUUCAACUCACCAGCAU